CAUAACCUAAAAGAAGUCAAACAACCUGAUUAUUUUAGUAUUAUUCAUUGUAAUUAUCAUUAAAAUACUCAUGACUACCUCGAAUUUAUAAAGUUAGUGUUGUGAAAGUUAACGCCCUGCCCAAGGGCGUGCGUGGAGUGUAUUUUUGUGCAAUACAAAGUAAAUACAAACGGCAAGCUGUGGGGAUCGGGGGCCUUUUUUUUGCCGCCGCAGGGGAUGUACUAUCCUGUGAGUAACGGCAAUGUCAUCGAUACGGGGACACCUACACUGCUGCACAUGGUGGGGACGGGCAUGGCGGCCCCGUUCCCUGCGGCGGCGGCGGCUGCGGCCGCAGCUGCACAUCAGUUCGCAGCCAACGGCGAUGCCCUUGCCGGCGUAAAAGCAGAGGCCAGUGGACCCACCGCGCCAACACAAUCCCCACUGGUCAAGAGUGAAGGCCCCCCUGCUCCUGCGCCUCUCCCGCCUGCCAACUUUUCACCUCAACCACCGCAACAAUCACAUGCAGCGAACUCCAUAGAAAAUCAAAAUAAUAACAACUCACAAAGUGAAGGAGAAUCGAAUGAAGAGAACACUCCAGUUAGCGUAGCGGUAGCGGUAGCGGCACAGCAGCAAGCGGCAGCAGUGGUGGCACAGCAGGCAGCGGCGGCUCAUGCGGCCGCCGCCGCGGUCAGUGCCGCUGUCGCCGCAGGCGCCAAUGCUGCCACUGCCACGCCAGACAAAACCCUUGUGCCUGUCUCACAAGCCUCUCAACCGAAACGGUUGCAUGUUUCCAACAUACCAUUCAGAUUUAGAGAUCCAGAUCUCAGAAAUAUGUUUGGGCAAUAUGGCACAAUACUUGAUGUAGAAAUUAUCUUCAAUGAACGAGGCUCGAAGGGAUUCGGUUUUGUAACAUUCGCAAAUAGUGGUGAUGCGGAGCGAGCACGAGAGCGUCUUCACGGCACCGUGGUUGAGGGCAGAAAGAUAGAGGUUAAUAAUGCGACUGCGAGAGUACAGACGAAGAAACCUCCAGCGGUACCCAACGUGUGUGUCCAAUGGCCCGAAGCGUCCGCGUCCGCGGCCGCGCUGCGCGGAGCCAGCGUAGUGCGCGGUCGCAGCCCGCGCCCGCCCCCGCCCCCGCACGCACCGCACUCGCCCCACGCGCACCUCCCGCACGCCGCCACCCUCCUGCCCCGCGCCGCGCCAUUCGCCGCCUACGCCCAUGUUUAUUACGACCCGUUCUUAGCUGCGGCUGCUACGGCCGACUCCAACUACAGACUUCAGGCCGCGAAGCCGGCAGCCGAGGCAGCAGCUACCGCAGCUGCGAUGGCCGGUCCGCUGCUAAAGUCGCCGCUAACGACAGCACAGCACGCAGCGGCGGCAGCGGCAGCGGCUAACUACGGCGCCGCCGCACGCGCAGCUGCCGCCGCCGCCAACGCCGCGCCCGCGCCCACCGCGCUCACGCCGCUCGCCGCUGCGUAUGGCAGAGAGUACGCUGACCCUUAUCUAGGUCACGGCAUAGGACCUGUCACUGGUUACGGGACUGCCGUAUACAGAAGUGGCUACAACAGAUUUGCGCCAUACUAAGCCAGUGGAACAAAGAAACGAUUUUAUUCGAAUAUGGAACAAACUACCUUCGCCUCCUUCUUAACAUGAACAUGACAAUGAACUCUCUUUGUAAACGUACAAACAUACUUCGUAACUUAAGGCGUCAGUAAUAGUGCUAGCCGACUACUGUAUAAGUAAGCUUGGUAGCAUAGAUAUCAGUGAGGAGCCGGCCGCGAUUGGCCCCGGCUCGGGAGUCCAAAACGUUCCCGCGGGAAGUGCGGGCGUCCGGAACUUAUGAAUACCAAAGUCAUUAAAAUUUCUAACUGAAAUAAUUAAGUUGAACUGUAAUGUAAAUUAUUUGUGUAAUGCAUAUACAAGUGCGAGCAGCUAAGUAAGCGCAAUCAUUCUAUUUAGAUAUUUUAAGAAGAACUAUUUUACUAAUACCUACUCCUACAUCUCAGAUACCUACGAUAUUGUCUAGUGUAGUUCUUACACUGGUAUUAUUGACAAUAGAAGUGUUUCGUGUACCUAACGGUAUUUAGUGAGCUUUGCACUUGCAUAUCAUAGAGAAAUUGUAAAUACUGAAGCCCAAACAUUUUACUCAUUUCUAUGUACUGUUUUUAUUUAAUUUUUUUUUAUGAAGUUACUAACGGGUAACUCCACACGAAUGUCAUCCCAGACUAGUUUCAAUCUAUUUCGAUUUCCCUAACUAACCACCGAUAGUUGAGGUGCAUAGAUACCUGCACUAUCCAAGCAAAUAGACAAAAUAGAUACUUUAGUUUUGAAUCUCUAAGUACAUUUCCGAUGUAUCGGUUUAGAUUUAAAAGUUUGGUGGUGCGAAUUUAAUGUGGUGCCAUUUGUUUGGUUGUAUUUUACAAAUAUAUUUUUCUUACAAAGUUACCUUCUAACCUACUUUUUGAAAGAUUAAUUUUAUAUGACUUCAUAGCUCUAGGAUUUGUUCGUCUACCACCUAUGGAGGUACCGCAAACGAGCGUUACUCUAUUUCAUGUUCACACGUAGGUUAAGCUUCAAGCUUGCACGGAUACGGCCGAUGAUCGCAUCGAAGCCCACGUUGUGGAAGGCCAAAAUUCACAAUAACAGUUUAGCAAGAGUUUCUCAAUUUCUGUACUGUGUACGUUUGCUUUCCAAAUUUGGUUGAAUUUACUUUCGCGAAAUUAUUAUUGUAAAACGCUAGCGUGUCUAAUAUUUUACUGAAUUUUAGUAGUAACGCUUUAGAAGUAGAUGUAUAAGAGAAGAAGGGAACUCCAUUGAGUUCUUACAUAUCAUUGAGAUUUCUCUUUGUAAUUAUGUUUGAUACUAUUGUUUCGUAACGGUGUCUAAUUUUACAGAGCUGUGUCAAACUUUUAACUAAAUAGCUUUUAUUUUACGAACAAACACGCGUACGGGUCCAACCCUUUUAGACGUCGUAAACUUUAGAUCUAAUAAUGUUGGCAUUAGGAUUGUAAAGUAUUGUAUUUUCUCUUUUAAGUCUAUUAAAUGCAAGUUUGUAUAUCUAAGUACAUAAGAAAGUACAUGUGAUUUGGUGAUUUUAUUUUUAGUGUUACUCUGCCUGAAAUUGUAACGGAGUCACAAAGUAUUGCCGUUAAUAAUGAACAAAGUAAAUACAAAUAACUUUGUUAUCCAACUUUUCAGUUGCAUUUUGCUAUUAGGUUCUGCAUCAAGCAUGAAUAUGCGAUUUGUGUCGAGACUUAGGUGUCAUCUCCCAAUUGUACAUGAUCUGAUUUUAUUGUAGUUAGUAAUUCAAUGGAGCCCUAUGAAUUAUAAUAGUGUUGUUGCCAACACAAGUCUACCCUGCCAUUAUCUAAAGGUACGGAAAGAAUCAAUGUUUUCGUGUUAUUUUUAACAUUUAUACAUGAUUUCAACGAUAAUCAAAUCACGUCAAAUCGCAAUGAAGUUUUGUAUUGUAUUAAUAACUUCAAAUCGUAGGCCAAAUUGUUAUUACUUGGAGAAAAAUCAGAAUUUAAAUGACAUAUCCGACAAAAUGGUUAGUGUGCUACAAUAAGAUUUGAAAAAAAAAAACAACAUCAAGAACAAUGUAUUAUAAUGAUCAUUAAAUUAUAAGAAUAAUGUGUAUUUUAUAACGCAAUUUGUUUCUCAGUUUUUAAGAGAAGCUGAAUUUUCUUUUUAUACUGUAAUUCUCGUUUCUUUAUGCUGUGCACAAAUUAUAUGAUCGAUGGCUUCGACUAUGUAAUCAUUAGGUCUAAAACGAAUUGUUAAAUUGUGCAUAAUAAGAUGUCAUAUCAGUAGUGUUGUUAGCGGUAGUGUAAAUGCUAACAGCACACGAGGAAAAAUGAUUGCUGUUAUAAAUGUGAGCUCUGGACGCGACACCCGCCAUCGCUGCUCUACCGACAAAACCUGCUGAGUAGACAAUUGAUCCUUGACAAGUUUACAUUGUAUCAAAGAAUCUAUCUCAGAAUUCUCCUAUAAUACUGUUCUGUUUGUUAAUUACAUUAUUGACAAUUAAUUGACCUUGAAUAUUUUAUGGGUGAAUAGCGGAUGGUGUGUCCUAGCCCUGUUGCCAACUGUAAAUAGUGUUAUCGGCGCAAGUUGCGCGUAUAAUUUGAACCCUCGGGUUUAUAUUGUUAAUGUAGCCAGAGUUAAUAAGUAUCACUUGUUCGUCAAUUGCACUCGUCGAUGCUGUUCCGUUAAACUAGUAGAGUACUCAGAUAGUAGAGUUUUAUC
RNA transcript from Hyposmocoma kahamanoa, 4227 nucleotides. It is a transcript of the gene named RNA binding protein fox-1 homolog 3, with no coding region annotated. The record is from RefSeq and is a predicted model, not a curated record. Lineage: Eukaryota; Metazoa; Arthropoda; Insecta; Lepidoptera; Cosmopterigidae. The transcript has 15 exons.